This 1636-nucleotide long non-coding RNA is filed under the name Nicotiana benthamiana. RNAcentral's name for it is "long non-coding RNA (NBEN_LNC017362)". The record is from RNAcentral. Lineage: Eukaryota; Viridiplantae; Streptophyta; Magnoliopsida; Solanales; Solanaceae.
GAAGGAAACUUGGAGAAGAAGUGCGGGAAGAGAACCUAGACAAUACUGAUAACUAACUGCCUACCCAUUUUCCUCAUAUUCCCUGCUAUUUGCAACCACUCUGGACCUUCUUCCUGAUCAUUCUUGUGCUGAGUCACCCUUCCAAAUGAAAUCAGCUAGUCUUCUACUGGGUUGUUUAAUUCUAUUACUUCUUCUUAGAUUAGUUCCAGACCUAAUAUUCUCUUCAAACGACUCCACCCCAGGCCCACACAUUUCUUCAUCUGAUUCUAGGCCCAAUUCUUGAACUGCAGCUCUAACUUCUCAUCCUCCUGAGAAUUUGAUUAAUUGAUUUCAUUUUAUUUUCAUAUCCAAAAUUUGUCAUGAACAAAUUAAUAGCACAUCAGUUGGGACCAACUAUGUCCUUCAUGUCUUCCUGUCUGCGCAAGCUAAAUCAACAUGCUUCAUUUUCUACGUUCCUUUUUAGGGGGUAAAAUUCAUUCUGCAAAGUUGGUUCAGUGGUUCCUCUAGAAGUUGAUAUAAUAUGAAUUAAUGCGUUAGAAAGGGAGGCAGAGAAUUCCAGGAAUGUAGUCUUCUUCUUUUUCAUCAUCCAGGAAUGUAAACAAAAUUUGCAAAUAUUCUACUAGAUGACUUAGCUUAAUUAAAAUGAAAAAGAAAUAUAAUAGUUCUAUAUUUUAAAUAGAAGAUUGGUACAAUUAUAUGUCUUCUCUUCUUUCCUUAAUUUUAAUUUGCUUCCACAUAUUUCAACCCCAAUAGGCCAAUACAAUGUAAAGGUUUUUUUGGUUGGUCUUAUGACAGGCUGCAAUUGGCGAAGCCAUAAUAAAAGGUAUAGGUUCGGUAGAACAUAGUUUAGCUCAAAACCUGUAGUUUAAUAAAGAAAUUCACUUUAUAUACAACAAUGAACCAAAUAAGGCAAAAAAGUUAUGGCCAAAAUGCAUAAACUUAAAAUCUUGAAUCCAACUAUAUUUAACGCAGCCCAACUUCAUAUUAUAACAAGUAUGCUUCAAAAUGCGAACUAGGUUUUAAUUAAUAUUGCUCCAAGAGAUGAGAAGAAUCAUUUUAUUACGAAUUACAGCUUGAUGAUGGGUUGCUUCCAUAGGAUCUAUCGUCCAACUUGCACAAUAGAAAUAUCUUUAAGAGAAUAUGCACAAUAAAUAAUUGGAGAGAAAAGAGAGCAGACUAAAGAUGAAAGUAACAGAAGAAAGAGUGGAGAAUUUUGAAAAAGAAAUUUGAGCUGAGGAUAAUAUAUUGAUAUUCCCUUUGGUUGGCACACGAAAGAGAUACGUCUAUCUACUUAUCUGCAAAUUUGACAAGAGUAAUGGAUGAUGACAUUCAUGCUUCAUCCAUUACAUAAAGAUUGGGACAGAUUUACCUUUUCAAUCAUAGGUGCAAAUGCACCUUUUACUAUCGAAUCUCAUAUAUGAAAAUUUUCAAGCAUACAUAGGAAUCCUUUUAGAAUAGAUAUAUAAUAUAUGUAUAAUAAGUAUGUCUUUUUUAUCACAAUAGAAUAGUAAACGUAAUGAUACUAUGGGCGUACUCUUACCGGAAAUGGCAUGGACCAUGUGUCAUUUUAAUUAUUGGAAUUGUUCCAAUAUUGGAAUGCCAGUCGCAAAAUAUUGGAAUUGUUCCAAAGUUUUAC